Molecule: non-coding RNA, 73 nt
Organism: Cadophora gregata
Lineage: Eukaryota; Fungi; Ascomycota; Leotiomycetes; Helotiales; Ploettnerulaceae
Source: the annotation of a RefSeq genome assembly
GGGUUAGUCUUCUAAUUGGUAAGAAACUUUUUUGUCAAGAAAGCAAAUGUCGGUUCGAACCCGACCUAGCCCG